UACGGGAGGCAGCAGUGGGGAAUAUUGCACAAUGGGCGCAAGCCUGAUGCAGCCAUGCCGCGUGUAUGAAGAAGGCCUUCGGGUUGUAAAGUACUUUCAGUCGUGAGGAAGGUGUUAAGGUUAAUAACCUUAGCAAUUGACGUUAGCGACAGAAGAAGCACCGGCUAACUCCGUGCCAGCAGCCGCGAUAAUACGGAGGGUGCGAGCGUUAAUCGGAAUUACUGGGCGUAAAGGGCACGCAGGCGGUUAAUUAAGUUGGAUGUGAAAUCCCCGGGCUUAACCUGGGAAUGGCAUUCAAGACUGGUUAGCUAGAGUCUUGUAGAGGGGGUAGAAUUCCAUGUGUAGCGGUGAAAUGCGUAGAGAUGUGGAGGAAUACCGGUGGCGAAGGCGGCCCCUGGGACAAAGACUGACGCUCAUGUGCGAAAGCGUGGGGAGCGAAACAGGAUUAGAUACC
RNAcentral lists this ribosomal RNA (454 nucleotides) under uncultured bacterium. Its description in RNAcentral is "bacterial SSU rRNA". It matches the Rfam family "Bacterial small subunit ribosomal RNA", at positions 340 to 786 of the family's 1533-position model. The record is from RNAcentral.